UCUCACUGCUGAACAGGAUGUAGCCGCUCAUGUUGAUCUUCCUCUUCGCUCCCUCUUUCUUCGACAGGCCUUUAAAGACCUUAGUGGCUGAUGGAUUGGCGCCCCAUUCAGGGAAUUCCUGCCUUGCACACAGUAUUUUCCAGUGGAACUGGAACCUGCUGCGAUCCUGAACGGAUAAAGUGCUUGAUAAAAUAAAUAUUCCCUUAAUGCAAAAUACAUGGAUAGAAAGAACUUUGCAUUAAUACAACCCAUCAAAACAGGCUAUACUGUGUACCUGUAUCGGUGUGUAAGUCAACAUAUCCAAAUCACUGGCUAGCGGCGUCUGUAGCUGAGACAUUCCUUGUCCGUCUAAGCCAUCGCCGCCAUCAUCAUCACCCAGGUCGUCCAGCUCCUCAUCUGUCAUUUCUGCAAACUUGGCCUCCAGCUCUUCAAUCUUCUUGUCCAGCAGAGGAGACGGCUCCUUCUGAGGCACUAUCAGUUUCCUGAAACAGAAACAGAAUUGUAUGGACCCUACCUUAACAAACAUGACGAUACAUUUGCCCAGAAUUUUGCUGACAGGAACUUUGUUGUAGUAAUCACUUUUGAAGACUUCUUUCUCCAGGAAUUUGCGGGUAGCCAGAUGGAAGGUCUCUUGGGCUUGUCUUCCUCAAACUCUUUGGGCAGCUUCUCUUUCUUCUCCUUCUCCACGUCGCUGUGCAGAUGUUUGGUGGUGUAGCUGAG
Trichomycterus rosablanca is the source of this 720-nucleotide long non-coding RNA. RefSeq lists it as uncharacterized. The transcript is spliced from 4 exons. The record is from RefSeq and is a predicted model, not a curated record. NCBI's taxonomy places the organism in Eukaryota, Metazoa, Chordata, Actinopteri, Siluriformes, Trichomycteridae.